CAGGCCGUAGCGCAGAGGUCGUCGCGCCACUUCGCGCAGUUGGAGGACGCCGGUUCGAAUCCGGCCGGCCUGCC
RNAcentral lists this transfer RNA (74 nucleotides) under Saccharothrix algeriensis. Its description in RNAcentral is "tRNA-Arg". It matches the Rfam family "tRNA". From Rfam's summary of the family: Transfer RNA (tRNA) molecules are approximately 80 nucleotides in length. Their secondary structure includes four short double-helical elements and three loops (D, anti-codon, and T loops). The record is from RNAcentral. RNAcentral also lists the same sequence under 3 other names. Lineage: Bacteria; Bacillati; Actinomycetota; Actinomycetes; Pseudonocardiales; Pseudonocardiaceae.